Molecule: ribosomal RNA, 363 nt
Filed under: Saprospiraceae bacterium
Lineage: Bacteria; Pseudomonadati; Bacteroidota; Saprospiria; Saprospirales; Saprospiraceae
Description: bacterial SSU rRNA
Rfam family: Bacterial small subunit ribosomal RNA
Source: RNAcentral
AGAGGAAGGGGGGGACGACGUCAAGUCAUCAUGGCCCUUACGUCCAGGGCGACACACGUGCUACAAUGGUAGGGACAGAGGGCAGCUACGUCGCGAGGCGAUGCGAAUCUCUCAAACCCUAUCCCAGUUCGGAUUGGAGUCUGCAACCCGACUCCAUGAAGGUGGAAUCGCUAGUAAUCGCGCAUCAGCCAUGGCGCGGUGAAUACGUUCCCGGACCUUGUACACACCGCCCGUCAAGCCAUGGGAGCUUGGGGUGCCUGAAGACGGUGACUUUACGGGGAGCUGUCUAAGGUAAAACAGGUGACUGGGGCUAAGUCGUAACAAGGUAGCCGUACCGGAAGGUGCGGCUGGAAUACCUCCUUU